RNAcentral lists this transfer RNA (76 nucleotides) under Halostreptopolyspora alba. Its description in RNAcentral is "Nocardiopsaceae bacterium YIM 96095 tRNA-Asp". It matches the Rfam family "tRNA". From Rfam's summary of the family: Transfer RNA (tRNA) molecules are approximately 80 nucleotides in length. Their secondary structure includes four short double-helical elements and three loops (D, anti-codon, and T loops). Further hydrogen bonds mediate the characteristic L-shaped molecular structure. tRNAs have two regions of fundamental functional importance: the anti-codon, which is responsible for specific mRNA codon recognition, and the 3' end, to which the tRNAs corresponding amino acid is attached (by aminoacyl-tRNA synthetases). tRNAs cope with the degeneracy of the genetic code in two manners: having more than one tRNA (with a specific anti-codon) for a particular amino acid; and 'wobble' base-pairing, i.e. permitting non-standard base-pairing at the 3rd anti-codon position. The record is from RNAcentral. Lineage: Bacteria; Bacillati; Actinomycetota; Actinomycetes; Streptosporangiales; Nocardiopsidaceae.
AAGGCUGUAGCGCAGUGGUCGUCGCGCCCGACCGUCAUUCGGGAGGACGCCGGUUCGAAUCCGGCCAGCCUUGCCA